RNAcentral lists this long non-coding RNA (2653 nucleotides) under Mus musculus (house mouse). RNAcentral's name for it is "long non-coding RNA chr6:57608235-57610888". The record is from RNAcentral. Lineage: Eukaryota; Metazoa; Chordata; Mammalia; Rodentia; Muridae.
GGCAGCUUUUUCCAGAGAAGCAUCUCUGCAGGAAAGUCAAGACAGACAAGCACAGAGCUUAAUUUUAACAGAGAGCAAUAAACCCUGGUGUGGGGUCAAUGCAAGAAGAGGAGAGGAAGUGGAAACAAGGAUUUUGACAACAGAGACAUUUUAACAAGAAAGUAAAAUUAGAAGAUAAUGGGAUGGUUUCUCAUGAGUGGCAGAAGAAUGUCCCAGAGCAGGAGAGAGAAAACAGAGUCCAGUGCUGUAGCAGUUCUUCUCACUGUGGCUGUAAUAAAACACUGUGACCAAAAGCAAACUGGAGAUGAAAGGGUUGAACUGGCUUACAGCUUACUAGUCCAUCAUGAAGGGAAGUCAGGGUAGGUUCUCAGGGCAGGAACCUGGAGGCAGGAACUGAAGUAGAGAGCCUGGAGGAACACUGCUUCCUGUCUUGCUGUAGGUUGUUCUGUUACUUUUCUUAUAUAGCUCGGGCUCAUCUGCCUGGGCAUGGCACCACCUACAGUCACCUAGGCCUCACCCAUCAAUCAUUCAUCAAGAAAAUGCUCUAUAGAAGCAAACAACGUAGGCCAGUCUGAUAGAGCCAGUUCAAUUGAGAUUCCCUAAGCUUUAUGUCAAGUUGAGAGAAUGUAGUGUAGAAUUGAGAUGUCUCAGGAAAGAAAUAUGCUGUUGUGGCUGCAGAUGAGGAUGAGUUGGUGCAUAGUACUGCUUGAUGACCAAAGCUGAUGUGAGAGUGAGAGAAGCAAAGGAAUGUGGGGGAAGGCAAGGAGAGGAGCAAUGGUUGUCUCAGAAUAAGAGAAAGCAACUGUCUUUGGAAGUGCCCAUUUGAAAUUUGUGAUCACAGAUUGAAUGUGGUUGGCCAGCACGAUGGGCAGUUGUCUUCAGUGGUGUCAGGCAUUGGGAACUGACUUUGGAGUAAUCCAGACUUGAACAUAAUGACAAGAAGGAAUUUUGCAGUCCAAUAAGGGAGGCCUAAAGGAGUUGUGGGAGUGAUCAGAAGAGUGAAGUUUAGGAGCUAAGCUAGUUCCAGAGUAACGAGAUGGUCGAAGAGCGAGAUCUGAUGCAUGGUUAGAGAGACUGUUCUGAAUGGGUGCUUAAAAAUGGAGCAAUUGUUAGUGUAAAAGUCCAGUUUAUGCCCUAGACAUAAGUUCAUGCUUUUUAAGUAAGGGUCAUUUUGCAUUCUAACAAUCAUUUGGUUCUGUCUGUAGGCAUUUUAGAUUGGUAUGCUGACAGUGACUACUACUAGCUUCUAGUGGGUAAGGGCUAGGAACAGUGAGUACUAAAUAUCUUACUAUGUGUAGUAUCCUUCACAACAAAGAAUUAUCUAAUCCCAGGAGUCAAUCGCUUCCGUUUGGAACCCUUCUCCCUGUCAGGAGUAGCUAAAAUGAGGAGAGAAAGGAGUAGAGGUGAGAUUGGGAGCUGAGAUGUUGAAGCAAGAGAUAGACUUCUGUCAUCACCUUUGAAGUUGUCAAGAAUGAGGACAGGGAGCAUGAGGACAGGAGCAGUGGUGAGCACAAGUGACAAGAAGCUUGUGAAGUUUUCAAGGAGAAGCUAGAGGAAAAUAAAUGAUACAUAACUGCCGGUAGGGGGCAGAUGGUUGUACUGAGAUGCUUAGAUACAAGAGAAAAUAAACCGUUGUGAUUGGUAAAUUUCCAAACCACUGGGAUUUAAAUCAAAGUGCUCAGGUAGGAGCUGGAAAUGUGGCUGAGUCUGAAUAAAAUCCUGGCAUAGAGCCCAUCACCAGCACAGUGGGUAGGGACACUUGAAGCAUUGUAUUUGUACAUAUUUUUCCAGAGGAUUUUAUUUGAUUGAAGAAAAGUAGUGUAUGUGUGUGUGUUUGUGUGUGUGUGUGUGUGUGUGUAUGAGUGUAGUGUCACUCUUGGCUAUAUAGUGAGACCCUAUCUCAAAUUACAUAUAAGAUUGUGUAUGUGGCAUUUGAAACACAUUGCCUACAAUUUUCUGUGGCAUUAAUUGCAUUCAUAAUGCCAUUAAGUAUCAUCACUGUUUCUCAAACAUUUUAGUCAUCGCAAGCAGACACUUGAUAUCUAUUAAAUAAUAAUUCCUCAUUCCCUGGCCUCCUCAGUCCUAGCUAAUUUCUUCUUUAUUUCUAUAAGUUUGCCAUACUUUAUAUAUGGAAUCAUAAAAUGUCUCCUAUUUUUUAAUUGAUUUAUUUCCACUUAGCAUGGUCUAGAAUACACCUACAUUAUAUUAUAGUAUCACUUUCAAUGCUGAGUAAUAUUUCACUGCAUAUUAUAUUAUCACAUUGAAAAUGCAUUCAUCUGUUGAUCGAUAGUAUGGCCGUUUGAAGGAUGGUAAGAUGAAUAUUGAUUUAUAAGCACCUAUCUGUCUCUAUUUUUAAUCUUUUCUUGCAUUAUUACACUUUUUAAAAUCCAGACCAAGCAAAAUGGCACAAGUUAGGAAACAGAAUGUUCACCCUGAAGCAAAAGCUCAACCCACCAAACACCUAUGCAAGAGGACAGGCCUUGCCUGUGCCUGGCACUUUACUGAUUGUCACUCAAAGUGUAUGUGCAUUCCCCUGGUCAUUUUUGUCUUUAUUUUCUUCCUUAAAGCAUACUAGGUCUACAGGUGUUUCCAUGAAAAUCCUGCCAGAAAUAAUCCGAAUCAACCAGUCUCUGGUAAAGAAAUGGAGAGCAGC